UCGGGAAUAUUGCGCAAUGGAGGAAACUCUGACGCAGUGACGCCGCGUAUAGGACGAAGGUCUUCGGAUUGUAAACUAUUGUCGUUAUGGAAGAGAAAGGACAGUACCUAAGGAGGAAGCUCCGGCUAACUACGUGCC
RNAcentral lists this ribosomal RNA (138 nucleotides) under uncultured bacterium. Its description in RNAcentral is "partial 16S ribosomal RNA". It matches the Rfam family "Bacterial small subunit ribosomal RNA", at positions 355 to 509 of the family's 1533-position model. The record is from RNAcentral.